RNAcentral lists this unclassified non-coding RNA (142 nucleotides) under uncultured Devriesia. RNAcentral describes it as "sequence contains ITS2". Lineage: Eukaryota; Fungi; Ascomycota; Dothideomycetes; Mycosphaerellales; Teratosphaeriaceae. The record is from RNAcentral.
ACACCCCUCAAGCCUGGCUUGGUAUUGGGCGUCGGGACCCUUCCCGCGCCCCGAUUUCGCCGGCUGGACGACUCCGAUCUCUCAAGCGUUGUACAAUCUCGCUGGCGAGACGGGCGGCCACGCCGUUAACCUUUAAUCAAAU